Molecule: ribosomal RNA, 1434 nt
Filed under: uncultured prokaryote
Description: partial 16S ribosomal RNA
Rfam family: Bacterial small subunit ribosomal RNA
Source: RNAcentral
UCAGGAUGAACGCUAGCGGUAGGCUUACACAUGCAAGUCGAGGGGUAACGAUAGUGCUUGCACUAGGCGACGACCGGCGCACGGGUGAGUAACGCGUAUGCAACCUACCUCAAACUGGAGGAUAGCCCAUGGAAACGUGGAUUAAUACUCCAUAGCAUAUAUCUUUCGCAUGUUAGAUAUCUUAAACCUUCGGGGGAUAUGGAUGAGUAUGCGUGCCAUUAGUUAGAUGGUGAGGUAACGGCUCACCAUGACAAUGAUGGCUACGGGGUCUUAAAGGAUGGUCCCGCACACUGGUACUGAGACACGGACCAGACUCCUACGGGAGGCAGCAGUGAGGAAUAUUGGUCAAUGGAGGCAACUCUGAACCAGCCAUGCCGCGUGAAGGAAGACUGCCCUAUGGGUUGUAAACUUCUUUUUUACGGGAAUAACUGUCACUACGUGUAGAGAUUUGAAGGUACCAUAAGAAUAAGCAUCGGCUAACUCCGUGCCAGCAGCCGCGGUAAUACGGAGGAUGCAAGCGUUAUCCGGAUUCAUUGGGUUUAAAGGGUGCGUAGGCGGGCCUUUAAGUCAGUGGUGAAAUCCUGCAGCUUAACUGUAGAACUGUCAUUGAUACUGGUUUUCUUGAAUAUAGUUGAGGUAGGCGGAAUGUGUAAUGUAGCGGUGAAAUGCUUAGAUAUUACACAGAACACCGAUUGCGUAGGCAGCUUACUAAGCUAUAACUGACGCUGAUGCACGAAAGCGUGGGGAGCGAACAGGAUUAGAUACCCUGGUAGUCCACGCCGUAAACGAUGAUCACUCGUUGUUGGCGAUACACAGUCAGCGACUGAGCGAAAGCAUUAAGUGAUCCACCUGGGGAGUACGACCGCAAGGUUGAAACUCAAAGGAAUUGACGGGGGCCCGCACAAGCGGAGGAACAUGUGGUUUAAUUCGAUGAUACGCGAGGAACCUUACCUGGGCUUAAAUGUAGAGUGCAUAAACGGGAAACUAGUAUUCCUUCGGGCACUUUACAAGGUGCUGCAUGGUUGUCGUCAGCUCGUGCCGUGAGGUGUCGGGUUAAGUCCCAUAACGAGCGCAACCCCUAUUGUUAGUUGCCAGCGGAUAAUGCCGGGGACUCUAACGAAACUGCCGGUGUAAACCGUGAGGAAGGUGGGGAUGACGUCAAAUCAGCACGGCCCUUAUGUCCAGGGCUACACACGUGUUACAAUGGUCGAUACAAAGGGCAGCUACCUGGUGACAGGAUGCUAAUCUCUAAAAUCGAUCUCAGUUCGGAUCGAAGUCUGCAACUCGACUUCGUGAAGCUGGAUUCGCUAGUAAUCGCGCAUCAGCCACGGCGCGGUGAAUACGUUCCCGGGCCUUGUACACACCGCCCGUCAAGCCAUGGAAGCUGGGGGUACCUGAAGUCCGUAACCGUGAGGAGCGGCCUAGGGUAAAACU